This 644-nucleotide ribosomal RNA is filed under the name bacterium HN2-5-23. Its description in RNAcentral is "bacterial SSU rRNA". It matches the Rfam family "Bacterial small subunit ribosomal RNA", at positions 338 to 974 of the family's 1533-position model. The record is from RNAcentral.
CCUACGGGAGGCAGCAGUAGGGAAUCUUCCACAAUGGGCGAAAGCCUGAUGGAGCAACGCCGCGUGAGUGAAGAAGGUUUUCGGAUCGUAAAACUCUGUUGUAAGGGAAGAACAAGUGCAGUAGUAACUGGCUGCACCUUGACGGUACCUUAUUAGAAAGCCACGGCUAACUACGUGCCAGCAGCCGCGGUAAUACGUAGUGGCAAGCGUUGUCCGGAAUUAUUGGGCGUAAAGCGCGCGCAGGCGGUUUCUUAAGUCUGAUGUGAAAGCCUCGGCUUAACCGAGGAGGGUCAUUGGAAACUGGGAGACUUGAGUGCAGAAGAGGAAAGUGGAAUUCCAAGUGUAGCGGUGAAAUGCGUAGAGAUUUGGAGGAACACCAGUGGCGAAGGGCGACUUUCUGGUCUGUAACUGACGCUGAGGCGCGAAAGCGUGGGGAGCAACCAGGAUUAGAUACCCUGGUAGUCCACGCCGUAAACGAUGAGUGCUAAGUGUUAGGGGGUUUCCGCCCCUUAGUGCUGCAGCUAACGCAUUAAGCACUCCGCCUGGGGAGUACGGUCGCAAGACUGAAACUCAAAGGAAUUGACGGGGGCCCGCACAAGCGGUGGAGCAUGUGGUUUAAUUCGAAGCAACGCGAAGAACCUUAC